GAGAACUGGGCAGCUUGAGUGAUUGGUUUGGUCGCCUCCUUCAGACAUUUGCCUGGCACUGGUGGGUGUGGAAAAGGCGGAGCAGGUGAGCCUUGGGAGGAGGCCAAGGGAGGCCUGCCAUCUCUGAGGGAAUUCUGAGGGCUUCAUGACCUCACCCAUGCAGGCUCAACUGCCAGUUACUGUCAGUUAUCAGAGUGAAGGUGCCUUCCAAGAGAACUCGUUCAAGGGAGACAGGAUUUUGUCCUGGAUUGCUAUAUUGCUUUGAAAUUCAGAAAAAGUUGCCUCACCUAAGCAGAAAUAAUGGAGGGAGCUCACCUGGGAUGAUGGAAAAAAGCACAAAACAACAUGACAACACAAAGGGUGUGAUGGGAAGUUUAUCCAGAGCUACAUUAAUGAGUGGAGCUUCUGUGCCAUCAUAUUCAACAUGUAUCAUCAUUUUCUUAGUACAUAAUUAUCUUUCUUCUUACAUUUGAAUUUAAUGUAUUGUGAAUUUAAUGUAUGAAAUAAAUAUAUUUCCCCCAUA
Molecule: long non-coding RNA, 523 nt
Organism: Pantherophis guttatus
Lineage: Eukaryota; Metazoa; Chordata; Lepidosauria; Squamata; Colubridae
Source: RefSeq, a predicted model, not a curated record